Molecule: ribosomal RNA, 263 nt
Filed under: uncultured bacterium
Lineage: Bacteria
Description: partial 16S ribosomal RNA
Rfam family: Bacterial small subunit ribosomal RNA
Source: RNAcentral
AUUAACGCUAGCGGCAGGCAUAAUACAUGCAAGUUGAACGGCAGCACAGGUAGCGAUACUGGGUGGCGAGUGGCGCACGGGUGCGUAACACGUAUGCAACCUACCCUAUACAGGCGAAUAACCUUUAGAAAUGAGGGCUAAUACGCCGUAGUAUUACAGAUGGGCAUCUAUUUGUAAUUAAAGAUUUAUCGGUAUAGGAUGGGCAUGCGUCCCAUUAGUUAGUUGGUAAGGUAACGGCUUACCAAGACGAUGAUGGGUAGGGG